Molecule: ribosomal RNA, 439 nt
Filed under: uncultured bacterium
Lineage: Bacteria
Description: partial 16S ribosomal RNA
Rfam family: Bacterial small subunit ribosomal RNA
Source: RNAcentral
CUACGGGCCGCAGCAGCGGGGAAUAUUGCACAAUGGAGGAAACUCUGAUGCAGCAACGCCGCGUGGAGGAUGACACUUUUCGGAGCGUAAACUCCUUUUAUAUAGGAAGAAGAUGACGGUACUAUAUGAAUAAGCGCCGGCUAACUCCGUGCCAGCAGCCGCGGUAAUACGGAGGGCGCAAGCGUUACGCGGAAUCACUGGGCGUAAAGAGCGUGUAGGCGGAUUAAAAAGUCAGAAGUGAAAUCCUAUAGCUUAACUAUAGAACUGCUUCUGAAACUCUUAAUCUAGAAUAUGGGAGAGGUAGAUGGAAUUUCUGGUGUAGGGGUAAAAUCCGUAGAGAUCAGAAGGAAUACCGAUUGCGAAGGCGAUCUACUAGAACAUUAUUGACGCUGAGACGCGAAAGCGUGGGGAGCAAACAGGAUUAGAUACCCCCGUAGUC